UAGGGAAUCUUCCACAAUGGGCGCAGCCUGAUGGAGCAACACCGCGUGAGUGAAGAAGGGUUUCGGCUCGUAAAGCUCUGUUGUUAAAGAAGAACACGUAUGAGUGUAACUGUUCAUACGUUGACGGUAUUUAACCAGAAAGUCACGGCUAACUACGUGCCAC
This 163-nucleotide ribosomal RNA is filed under the name uncultured bacterium. RNAcentral describes it as "partial 16S rRNA". It matches the Rfam family "Bacterial small subunit ribosomal RNA", at positions 355 to 511 of the family's 1533-position model. The record is from RNAcentral.